Molecule: long non-coding RNA, 832 nt
Filed under: Anas platyrhynchos platyrhynchos (common mallard)
Lineage: Eukaryota; Metazoa; Chordata; Aves; Anseriformes; Anatidae
Description: lncRNA (ENSAPLG00000028425.1)
Source: RNAcentral
GAAAGCGCAGCUUUUAAAGGGCUGAAACCAACCGGCCGUAGCUGGAGGGGAUUCAGCUGUCCCGCAGAGGAACACAGCCCCGCUGUGCGACGUUUGCUGCAGAGGUAUCAGAGUUUAAGAGUAUUUUUCCUGGCUGUACUCCGACAGCCUGUUCCUGUGCUGGCCCCGCAGGAGCCAGGCAGGGAACUGGGGCAUCACUGGAAAAGAAGUAAAGCGUUACCUGGAAGACCAGAGCCCUACACCUCCAUGGCUUACAGGCUCCUCAGAAGUCACUGCUAAAGGGCAUGAAAGCCUACCACAACUUCCACGUGGUAAGUAAAACAUAAUGAGGGGAGACUAUAGCAGGAACCAGAGUACUCAGGAAAGUGUCACUGGAUUGGUAGCACUCCGACCUUGUGGCAAAAACAUUUGAGCAUCUAGCUUCUGUUUGUACAGAUUCAGUAGUAAUAAUUUAAUUGUGUGACUUAGUCACACAAAGAGUUUGUUGAACACUCUUAGUCAUUAACAAAAAGAAAAGCAAAUACCAGGGGAAAUACUCUUUGAAAAACCCUUUCCUUUAAUCAGCUACUUUACACAAUCUCUUCCAGGUGUGGACCUAAUACAGGUAGAGGGUAUUUUUGUUGUUUUCAAUUUGCAGUUCUGGCAACAUUUCUUUUUCAGGUUUGGAGUAAAAAUAAUUGAAACAAUACUAUCAAAAAAUGGAAGAAAUCUAACUAGAAUUGACAAAAGCACUAGCUGACCAGUCUUUUCGGUAGCCAGGAGCACAGCUGUGGACAUGACCAGACUUUUCCUGAGCACAAGGCCCAGGUGAGGACAGUGGCUGCCAAGCCCA